UACGUAGGGUGCGAGCGUUAAUCGGAAUUACUGGGCGUAAAGCGCGUGUAGGCGGCCUAGUGUGUCGGGCGUGAAAUCCCACGGCUCAACCGUGGAAGUGCACUCGAAACUGCAAGGCUGGAGUACUGGAGAGGAUGGUAGAAUGCUCGGUGUAGAGGUGAAAUUCGUAGAUAUCGAGCGGAAUACCGGUGGCGAAGGCGGCCAUCUGGACAGUCACUGACGCUGAGACGCGAAAGCGUGGGGAGCAAACAGG
RNAcentral lists this ribosomal RNA (253 nucleotides) under uncultured bacterium. RNAcentral describes it as "partial 16S ribosomal RNA". It matches the Rfam family "Bacterial small subunit ribosomal RNA", at positions 524 to 776 of the family's 1533-position model. The record is from RNAcentral.